AGAGUUUGAUCCUGGCUCAGAUUGAACGCUGGCGGCAGGCCUAACACAUGCAAGUCGAGCGGCAGCGGGAAAGUAGCUUGCUACUUUUGCCGGCGAGCGGCGGACGGGUGAGUAAUGCCUGGGAAAUUGCCCAGUCGAGGGGGAUAACAGUUGGAAACGACUGCUAAUACCGCAUACGCCCUACGGGGGAAAGCAGGGGACCUUCGGGCCUUGCGCGAUUGGAUAUGCCCAGGUGGGAUUAGCUUGUUGGUGAGGUAAUGGCUCACCAAGGCGACGAUCCCUAGCUGGUCUGAGAGGAUGAUCGGCCACACUGGAACUGAGACACGGUCCAGACUCCUACGGGAGGCAGCAGUGGGGAAUAUUGCACAAUGGGGGAAACCCUGAUGCAGCCAUGCCGCGUGUGUGAAGAAGGCCUUCGGGUUGUAAAGCACUUUCAGCGAGGAGGAAAGGUUGAUGCCUAAUACACAUCAGCUGUGACGUUACUCGCAGAAGAAGCACCGGCUAACUCCGUGCCAGCAGCCGCGGUAAUACGGAGGGUGCAAGCGUUAAUCGGAAUUACUGGGCGUAAAGCGCACGCAGGCGGUUGGAUAAGUUAGAUGUGAAAGCCCCGGGCUCAACCUGGGAAUUGCAUUUAAAACUGUCCAGCUAGAGUCUUGUAGAGGGGGGUAGAAUUCCAGGUGUAGCGGUGAAAUGCGUAGAGAUCUGGAGGAAUACCGGUGGCGAAGGCGGCCCCCUGGACAAAGACUGACGCUCA
This 754-nucleotide ribosomal RNA is filed under the name uncultured bacterium. Its description in RNAcentral is "bacterial SSU rRNA". It matches the Rfam family "Bacterial small subunit ribosomal RNA", at positions 8 to 749 of the family's 1533-position model. The record is from RNAcentral.